GAUGAAGAACGUAGCGAAAUGCGAUAAGUAAUGUGAAUUGCAGAAUUCAGUGAAUCAUCGAAUCUUUGAACGCACAUUGCGCCCUCUGGUAUUCCGGGGGCAUGCCUGUUCGAGCGUCAUUAUAACCACUCAAGCUUUCGCUUGGUAUUGGGGCUCGCGGUUCCGCGGCCCCUAAAAUCAGUGGCGGUGCCUGUCGGCUCUACGCGUAGUAAUACUCCUCGCGAUUGAGUCCGGUAGGUCUACUUGCCAGCAACCCCCAAUUUUUACAGGUUGACCUCGGAUCAGGUAGGGAUACCCGCUGAACUUAAGCAUAUCAAUAAGCGGAGGA
RNAcentral lists this unclassified non-coding RNA (328 nucleotides) under soil metagenome. Its description in RNAcentral is "partial contains 5.8S ribosomal RNA, internal transcribed spacer 2, and large subunit ribosomal RNA". The stretch from base 1 to 119 matches the Rfam family "5.8S ribosomal RNA", at positions 35 to 154 of the family's 154-position model. The record is from RNAcentral.